AGUGAACGCUGGCGGUAGGCCUAACACAUGCAAGUCGAACGGCAGCACAGUAAGAGCUUGCUCUUACGGGUGGCGAGUGGCGGAUGGGUGAGGAAUACAUCGGAAUCUACUUUUUCGUGGGGGAUAACGUAGGGAAACUUACGCUAAUACCGCAUACGACCUACGGGUGAAAGCAGGGGAUCUUCGGACCUUGCGCGAUUGAAUGAGCCGAUGUCGGAUUAGCUAGUUGGCGGGGUAAAGGCCCACCAAGGCGACGAUCCGUAGCUGGUCUGAGAGGAUGAUCAGCCACACUGGAACUGAGACACGGUCCAGACUCCUACGGGAGGCAGCAGUGGGGAAUAUUGGACAAUGGGCGCAGGCCUGAUCCAGCCAUACCGCGUGGGUGAAGAAGGCCUUCGGGUUGUAAAGCCCUUUUGUUGGGAAAGAAAAGCAGCAGGUUAAUACCCCGCUGUUCUGACGGUACCCAAAGAAUAAGCACCGGCUAACUUCGUG
RNAcentral lists this ribosomal RNA (492 nucleotides) under uncultured bacterium. RNAcentral describes it as "partial 16S ribosomal RNA". It matches the Rfam family "Bacterial small subunit ribosomal RNA", at positions 29 to 507 of the family's 1533-position model. The record is from RNAcentral.